Molecule: unclassified non-coding RNA, 239 nt
Filed under: Hevea brasiliensis (rubber tree)
Lineage: Eukaryota; Viridiplantae; Streptophyta; Magnoliopsida; Malpighiales; Euphorbiaceae
Source: RNAcentral
AAUAAGAUCAGAUAAUCCUUGAACAAUUCUAUCAAAUAUAAAGAAUACAAUAUAAUAACACUUCAGAAUAAUGCAUAAUACAAAAGGGAAUAUUUUAAGAUACUGCAGGUCUGCAGUAUGACCUUUUGACAUCUUAAUAUUUGAUGAAAUGUUUCUUAACUAAACAUAAAUGCCAAACACCAUAUAAAUUUUAGUAGCAUGCAGCAAACCUUAUUUGCCUUCCAAAACAACUUUUUCAU